This 492-nucleotide ribosomal RNA is filed under the name uncultured bacterium. RNAcentral describes it as "partial 16S ribosomal RNA". It matches the Rfam family "Bacterial small subunit ribosomal RNA", at positions 29 to 507 of the family's 1533-position model. The record is from RNAcentral.
AGUGAACGCUGGCGGUAGGCCUAACACAUGCAAGUCGAACGGCAGCACAGUAAGAGCUUGCUCUUACGGGUGGCGAGUGGCGGACGGGUGAGGAAUACAUCGGAAUCUACUUUUUCGUGGGGGAUAACGUAGGGAAACUUACGCUAAUACCGCAUACGACCUACGGGUGAAAGCAGGGGAUCUUCGGACCUUGCGCGAUUGAAUGAGCCGAUGUCGGAUUAGCUAGUUGGCGGGGUAAAGGCCCACCAAGGCGACGAUCCGUAGCUGGUCUGAGAGGAUGAUCAGCCACACUGGAACUGAGACACGGUCCAGACUCCUACGGGAGGCAGGAGUGGGGAAUAUUGGACAAAGGGCGCAAGCCUGAUCCAGCCAUACCGCGUGGGUGAAGAAGGCCUUCGGGUUGUAAAGCCCUUUUGUUGGGAAAGAAAAGCAGCAGGUUAAUACCCCGCUGUUCUGACGGUACCCAAAGAAUAAGCACCGGCUAACUUCGUG